This 801-nucleotide ribosomal RNA is filed under the name Staphylococcus arlettae. RNAcentral describes it as "bacterial SSU rRNA". It matches the Rfam family "Bacterial small subunit ribosomal RNA", at positions 44 to 829 of the family's 1533-position model. Lineage: Bacteria; Bacillati; Bacillota; Bacilli; Caryophanales; Staphylococcaceae. The record is from RNAcentral.
GUGCUAUACAUGCAAGUCGAGCGAACAGAUAAGGAGCUUGCUCCUUUGACGUUAGCGGCGGACGGGUGAGUAACACGUGGGUAACCUACCUAUAAGACUGGAAUAACUCCGGGAAACCGGGGCUAAUGCCGGAUAACAUUUAGAACCGCAUGGUUCUAAAGUGAAAGAUGGUUUUGCUAUCACUUAUAGAUGGACCCGCGCCGUAUUAGCUAGUUGGUAAGGUAAUGGCUUACCAAGGCAACGAUACGUAGCCGACCUGAGAGGGUGAUCGGCCACACUGGAACUGAGACACGGUCCAGACUCCUACGGGAGGCAGCAGUAGGGAAUCUUCCGCAAUGGGCGAAAGCCUGACGGAGCAACGCCGCGUGAGUGAUGAAGGGUUUCGGCUCGUAAAACUCUGUUAUUAGGGAAGAACAAACGUGUAAGUAACUGUGCACGUCUUGACGGUACCUAAUCAGAAAGCCACGGCUAACUACGUGCCAGCAGCCGCGGUAAUACGUAGGUGGCAAGCGUUAUCCGGAAUUAUUGGGCGUAAAGCGCGCGUAGGCGGUUUCUUAAGUCUGAUGUGAAAGCCCACGGCUCAACCGUGGAGGGUCAUUGGAAACUGGGAGACUUGAGUGCAGAAGAGGAAAGUGGAAUUCCAUGUGUAGCGGUGAAAUGCGCAGAGAUAUGGAGGAACACCAGUGGCGAAGGCGACUUUCUGGUCUGUAACUGACGCUGAUGUGCGAAAGCGUGGGGAUCAAACAGGAUUAGAUACCCUGGUAGUCCACGCCGUAAACGAUGAGUGCUAAGUGUUAGGGG